GCCACCUGUUUCUCUUACACUUUAAGCAUCUCUUUACUCUCACCACCAUAUAAAUAUUCCUUCCUCUCCCCUUUUCACUUCCCACAGUAUUACUUCUCUUUUUCACACUCUGUACCAAAUUUGCUUCUACUUGUCGCUAUGGCUACUGCUACUACUCUCUCUCCUGCUGAUGCUGAAAAGCUCAACAACCUCAAAUCUGCCGUCGCCGGUCUAAAUCAAAUCAGUGAAAAUGAGAAAUCUGGAUUUAUUAACCUUGUCGGUCGCUAUCUAAGUGGUGAAGCACAACACAUUGACUGGAGUAAGAUCCAGACGCCAACUGAUGAAGUUGUGGUGCCUUAUGACAAGUUAGCACCUCUUUCUGAAGAUCCCGCGGAAACUAAGAAGCUUUUGGACAAA
This 396-nucleotide unclassified non-coding RNA is filed under the name Hevea brasiliensis (rubber tree). Lineage: Eukaryota; Viridiplantae; Streptophyta; Magnoliopsida; Malpighiales; Euphorbiaceae. The record is from RNAcentral.